This 1432-nucleotide ribosomal RNA is filed under the name Lacticaseibacillus rhamnosus. Its description in RNAcentral is "bacterial SSU rRNA". It matches the Rfam family "Bacterial small subunit ribosomal RNA". The record is from RNAcentral. Lineage: Bacteria; Bacillati; Bacillota; Bacilli; Lactobacillales; Lactobacillaceae.
GCAGUCGAACGAGUUCUGAUUAUUGAAAGGUGCUUGCAUCUUGAUUUAAUUUUGAACGAGUGGCGGACGGGUGAGUAACACGUGGGUAACCUGCCCUUAAGUGGGGGAUAACAUUUGGAAACAGAUGCUAAUACCGCAUAAAUCCAAGAACCGCAUGGUUCUUGGCUGAAAGAUGGCGUAAGCUAUCGCUUUUGGAUGGACCCGCGGCGUAUUAGCUAGUUGGUGAGGUAACGGCUCACCAAGGCAAUGAUACGUAGCCGAACUGAGAGGUUGAUCGGCCACAUUGGGACUGAGACACGGCCCAAACUCCUACGGGAGGCAGCAGUAGGGAAUCUUCCACAAUGGACGCAAGUCUGAUGGAGCAACGCCGCGUGAGUGAAGAAGGCUUUCGGGUCGUAAAACUCUGUUGUUGGAGAAGAAUGGUCGGCAGAGUAACUGUUGUCGGCGUGACGGUAUCCAACCAGAAAGCCACGGCUAACUACGUGCCAGCAGCCGCGGUAAUACGUAGGUGGCAAGCGUUAUCCGGAUUUAUUGGGCGUAAAGCGAGCGCAGGCGGUUUUUUAAGUCUGAUGUGAAAGCCCUCGGCUUAACCGAGGAAGUGCAUCGGAAACUGGGAAACUUGAGUGCAGAAGAGGACAGUGGAACUCCAUGUGUAGCGGUGAAAUGCGUAGAUAUAUGGAAGAACACCAGUGGCGAAGGCGGCUGUCUGGUCUGUAACUGACGCUGAGGCUCGAAAGCAUGGGUAGCGAACAGGAUUAGAUACCCUGGUAGUCCAUGCCGUAAACGAUGAAUGCUAGGUGUUGGAGGGUUUCCGCCCUUCAGUGCCGCAGCUAACGCAUUAAGCAUUCCGCCUGGGGAGUACGACCGCAAGGUUGAAACUCAAAGGAAUUGACGGGGGCCCGCACAAGCGGUGGAGCAUGUGGUUUAAUUCGAAGCAACGCGAAGAACCUUACCAGGUCUUGACAUCUUUUGAUCACCUGAGAGAUCAGGUUUCCCCUUCGGGGGCAAAAUGACAGGUGGUGUAUGGUUGUCGUCAGCUCGUGUCGUGAGAUGUUGGGUUAAGUCCCGCAACGAGCGCAACCCUUAUGACUAGUUGCCAGCAUUUAGUUGGGCACUCUAGUAAGACUGCCGGUGACAAACCGGAGGAAGGUGGGGAUGACGUCAAAUCAUCAUGCCCCUUAUGACCUGGGCUACACACGUGCUACAAUGGAUGGUACAACGAGUUGCGAGACCGCGAGGUCAAGCUAAUCUCUUAAAGCCAUUCUCAGUUCGGACUGUAGGCUGCAACUCGCCUACACGAAGUCGGAAUCGCUAGUAAUCGCGGAUCAGCACGCCGCGGUGAAUACGUUCCCGGGCCUUGUACACACCGCCCGUCACACCAUGAGAGUUUGUAACACCCGAAGCCGGUGGCGUAACCCUUUUAGGGAGCGAG